UCUCCAUAAUGUUCCAAUUGAUCCUUCUGAACCUUCAAUAUGUACUCACUAAAAGGGUUUCUGAGGAGAUGCUUUUCCUGAGAGA
This is a small nucleolar RNA of Pelobates fuscus (common spadefoot toad), 85 nucleotides long. Lineage: Eukaryota; Metazoa; Chordata; Amphibia; Anura; Pelobatidae. The record is from RefSeq and is a predicted model, not a curated record.